RNAcentral lists this ribosomal RNA (254 nucleotides) under uncultured bacterium. RNAcentral's name for it is "partial 16S ribosomal RNA". It matches the Rfam family "Bacterial small subunit ribosomal RNA", at positions 524 to 776 of the family's 1533-position model. The record is from RNAcentral.
GACGGAGGAUGCAAGUGUUAUCCGGAAUCACUGGGCGUAAAGCGUCUGUAGGUGGUUUAAAAAGUCUGCUGUUAAAAAUUGAAGCUUAACUUCAAAGAUGCCGUAGAAACUUUUAAACUAGAGUAUGAUAGGGGUAGAGGGAAUUUCCAGUGGAGCGGUGAAAUGUGUAGAUAUUGGAAAGGACCACCAAUGGCGAAGGCACUCUACUGGGCCAUUACUGACACUGAGAGACGAAAGCUAGGGGAGCAAAUGGG